RNAcentral lists this ribosomal RNA (458 nucleotides) under uncultured bacterium. RNAcentral describes it as "bacterial SSU rRNA". It matches the Rfam family "Bacterial small subunit ribosomal RNA", at positions 42 to 509 of the family's 1533-position model. The record is from RNAcentral.
GUGCGCCUUAUGCAUGCAAGUCGAGGGAAGCUUUUCAGUAGUUUACUACAGAAAAUGACUGAGCGGCGAACGGGUGAGUAACGCGUGAGCAAUCUACCUUAGUUACAGGGAUAGCCCGAGGAAACUCGGAUUAAUACCUGAUAUUCUUUAUAUUUCGCAUGAAAUUAAAAGGAAAGGUCAGCCGAACUAAGAUGAGCUCGCGUUCUAUCAGCUAGUUGGUGAGGUAAAAGCUCACCAAGGCUACGACGGAUAGCUGGUAUGAGAGGACGAUCAGCCACACUGGGACUGAGACACGGCCCAGACUCCUACGGGAGGCUGCAGCAGGGAAUAUUGCGCAAUGAGCGAAAGCUUGACGCAGCGACACCGCGUGUGGGAUGACGGAUCUAGGUUUGUAAACCACUUUCAGGAGGGAAGAAAAUGACGGUACCUCCACAAGAAGCCCCGGCCAACUACGUGCC